Long non-coding RNA from Myxocyprinus asiaticus (Chinese sucker), 1382 nucleotides. RefSeq lists it as uncharacterized. The transcript is spliced from 5 exons. The record is from RefSeq and is a predicted model, not a curated record. NCBI's taxonomy places the organism in Eukaryota, Metazoa, Chordata, Actinopteri, Cypriniformes, Catostomidae.
GAAAAUGUCUUUAAUUUCUUUAAUUUAGUGCUUUUAACUACUGUCUAUCACAAUACAUGUUAAAUUGUUAUGAAGCGUCGAGAGCCUGUAAGCUAAUGCUGACUCGCUACCUGCAAAAUGAUUAUUUUAUCAUUUGCGCCUACGGCCUCGCCCACGUGUUCGUAGUUAGCUCUUAGACCUUUGAGCAAUCAAACCACAAAGAAAUGGAUCCAAGCUGCAAGAAUUUGGGAGUAAGAAUGAUUCCUUAGCAUUGUUUAUUAUUAUUGCGUGUAAUGAUGAUUCAUUAGACUAGAGUCUCUGAAAUAGGCCUACUCAAUGAAGCUCUUUACAGUUCACUGAACACGUGCAAUACCACCAUUAGUAUUUCAGUAGAUCUGUCUUGGAUGUCCCUAAAUUGUGAAAUGUUUAUAGGCUGUAUGGGAUGAACAGAAGUUACCAAACAGAUGAUGCCAAUAGUUGAAAUCCAGUGGGUAAAGCGUUAUUUCUUUUGCAUGUAACUUGGCAAGCGUGGCUCACGAUAAGCUCUGACAAUGAAACCUUUUGUUUUCAAGGUUUUCAGCUAUGGAUUUUAAGGCAACAUAGUUGGCAUGGAAAGUUCUCCGGCACAUGCAUUUUUAUUGAGGAUGGUAUGAUUCCAAAUGGCUUCAACUAAGGUUGAACUAACUAUUGUAUCAACUAAGAUUUUCAACUGUUGAUUUGAAGCCAUCAUAGAUGGCACGGUUUCCGGCACAUGCAUCCAUACUGAGGUUAACAUGAUGCCAGAAGGCAAUGUCGUGUUAAUGUGCAAGAUGGUGAGGCUUGUGAGUUCAAGCCAUGGCAAAAGAGAAGUUGUGACCAACAUGCAGGAAAAACUGCUGCGAUGUCAACCUUUGCAUUCAAUGUUUGUAGUCUGUAUGUCACUCCAAGGGGAAUUUGUGGAAUAACUUGUAUCAUUCAGUUUAAACCAUUUGAUAUACUCUUUAUUUUUAUGUUUGUUUAUUGAUUACAGAGUGAUGUUAAGUUUCUGUCUAUAAUAAACACUUUCUGGUCUAUAAUAAACUUGAGAAUUUCAAUAUCUUGAUUUUGAGAUGCAGGUCCACAUUUCUGCAUAUCCUUAUGUCCCUUCAUUUUGUUUGUUGCUGGGUGGUGGGUCAUAUGUUAGUGCAAAUACACUUUAGUAGUACAUGGCAUUCAUAUCAUGUAGCUGGUUUGCCUGGCCACACCUAUAAGCAACAUCUUGUGAGUCAUGUUGUAACUGGCACAACACAAACCUUUUGACCUAAGAAUGUGUUGGGUGUAUUGUGUAAAUCAAAUCUAUUUUGAUUGCCUUAAAUAGUUCACCCAAAAAUGGAUAAAAAGAUCCUUUAUUCACCCUCAUGCCAUUCCAGAUGUGUAUGACUAAC